This 443-nucleotide ribosomal RNA is filed under the name uncultured bacterium. RNAcentral's name for it is "partial 16S ribosomal RNA". It matches the Rfam family "Bacterial small subunit ribosomal RNA", at positions 338 to 795 of the family's 1533-position model. The record is from RNAcentral.
CCUACGGGUGGCAGCAGUGGGGAAUAUUGGGCAAUGGAGGCAACUCUGACCCAGCAACGCCGCGUGAAUGAUGAAGGUCUUCGGAUUGUAAAGUUCUGUGAUCGGGGAUGAACACAAUGACGGUUCCCCAAUAGCACGCCACGGCUACCUACGUGCCAGCAGCCGCGGUACUACGUGGGUGGCAAGCGUUAUCCGGAAUGACUGGGCGUAAAGGGUGCGUAGGGGGUUUAGGAAGUUCGCGGUGUAAUUCCGGGGCUCAACCGCGGGGCUACCGCCAAAACUAUUAGACUAGAGUGCAGGAGGGGUAAGUGGAAUGCCUAGUGUAGCGGUGGAAUGCGUAGAUAUUAGGAGGAACACCAGUGGCGAAGGCGACUUACUGGACUGUAACUGACGCUGAGGCACGAAAGCGUGGGGAGCAAACAGGAUUAGAUACCCCUGUAGUC